GAUGAACGCUAGCGGCAGGCCUAACACAUGCAAGUCGAGGGCAGCAUAAAACAAGCUUGCUUGUUUGGUGGCGACCGGCGCACGGGUGCGUAACGCGUAUGCAACCUACCCUGUACUGGGGGAUAGCCCGGAGAAAUCUGGAUUAAUACCCCAUGGUAUCUACGAAUCGAUUGGUUUGUAGCUUAAAGAUUUAUCGGUAAAAGAUGGGCAUGCGUCUGAUUAGCUAGUUGGCGGGGUAACGGCCCACCAAGGCGACGAUCAGUAGGGGUUCUGAGACGGAGAUCAGCCACACUGGGACUGAGACACGGCCCAGACUCCUACGGGAGGCAGCAGUGGGGAAUUUUGGACAAU
RNAcentral lists this ribosomal RNA (351 nucleotides) under uncultured bacterium. RNAcentral's name for it is "bacterial SSU rRNA". It matches the Rfam family "Bacterial small subunit ribosomal RNA", at positions 28 to 372 of the family's 1533-position model. The record is from RNAcentral.